GUAGUGAUAUGCUUGUUUCAAAGAUUAAGCCAUGCAUGUCUAAGUAUAAGCGAACUUAUACAGUGAAACUGCGGAUGGCUCAUUAAAACAGUUUGAAUUUAUUUGAUGAAUGUAUGAGAAUACUACUUGGAUAACCGUAGUAAUUCUAGAGCUAAUACAUGCAACGACGCCCGACCGUUUCACUACGGAAGGGCUGUAUUUAUUGGAUACCAAAACCAUCCUUCCCUCGGGAAGUUUUGUUUGAUGAUUCACAAUAACUGAUCGGAUCGCCACUGUGGUGGCGACAGGUCAUUCAACAUUCUGCCCUAUCAGCUUUCGAUGGUUGUGUAGUGGACAACCAUGGCCAUAACGGGUAACGGAGAAUCAGGGUUCGAUUCCGGAGAAGGAGCUUGAGAAUUGGCUACCACAUCUAAGGAAGGCAGCAGGCGCGCAAAUUACCCAAUCCCGAUUCGGGGAGGUAGUGACAAAAAAUAACAAUACCGGGCCUUUUUGGGCUUGGUAAUUGGAAUGAGGGAGAGUUAAACGGACCAUCGAGUAUCCAUUGGAGGGCAAGUCUGGUGCCAGCAGCUGCGGUAAUACCAGCUCCAAUAGCGUAUAUUAAAGUUGUUGCAGUUAAAAAGCUCGUAGUUGGACUUGUGUGCGCUGUCCGCGGGUGGCCUGCGCCCUAAAGGGCGUUUCGGUUCGGCCCCGGUGGCGCCUUGAAAUCUGCAGCUGGGGGGACGUUGGCCUUAACUGGUCGGCGACCGCACGCCGGCUGCUCGGUUACUGUGAGAAAAUUAGAGUGUUCAAGGCAGGCGUUGGGUGCAAUUGAAUACAUUAGCAUGGAAUAAUAAAAUAUGGCUCCUGCCGUAUUUUGUUGGUUUUGACUGGUGGGAGUAAUGAUUGAUAGGGACGGUUGGGGGUGCUAGUAUUGAGCGGCCAGAGGUGAAAUUCAUGGAUUCGCUCAAGACUAACUUAUGCGAAAGCAUUCACCAAGGACGUCCUCUUUAAUCAAGAACGAAAGUUGGGGGAUCGAAGACGAUCAGAUACCGUCGUAGUCUCAACCAUAAACUAUGUCGACUUGGGAUCGGCGGUAGUUUUUUCACUAAGACACUGUCGGGACCACGGGAGAAAUCAAAGUGUCUGGACUCUGGGGGAAGUAUGGUCGCAAGGCUGAAACUUGAAGGAAUUGACGGAAGGGCACCACCAGGAGUGGAGCCUGCGGCUUAAUUUGACCCAACACGGGGAAACUUACCAGGUCCAGAGAUGUAGAGGAUUGACAGAUUGAAGCUCUUUCUUGAUC
RNAcentral lists this ribosomal RNA (1282 nucleotides) under metagenome. Its description in RNAcentral is "SSU rRNA". It matches the Rfam family "Eukaryotic small subunit ribosomal RNA", at positions 20 to 1267 of the family's 1831-position model. The record is from RNAcentral.